UGUGAAGCAUUCCGUGUUCUCUUUGCCAUCAUUGUAUCGUUUAGCUUUCUGCUGACCUUGACUAUCCGUCUCCCCUGCCAACAGGCCCUGUCACAAAGAAUGACCCAUUGGCCCAACCCAAUUGGCACCUGAACAGAGACCAGAGUAAGGAGAAAAGGGUUCGGCAACAGUUCCCAAAUUAGGAGGCACCAUAUUUUCUCCAAUACAUUCGAGUAUAUUCUGGUCUCCUUGGUCUUUUGGC
Molecule: long non-coding RNA, 241 nt
Filed under: Mus musculus (house mouse)
Lineage: Eukaryota; Metazoa; Chordata; Mammalia; Rodentia; Muridae
Description: lincRNA-EC40
Source: RNAcentral